Molecule: long non-coding RNA, 327 nt
Filed under: Phoenix dactylifera (date palm)
Lineage: Eukaryota; Viridiplantae; Streptophyta; Magnoliopsida; Arecales; Arecaceae
Description: long non-coding RNA (PDAC_LNC006477)
Source: RNAcentral
GCCACGGUGACUAGCAAGCAACUUACUGUACUAUGGUACUGAACUAUCUGAAUUUCUAAUUCAUCUACGAAAGUAUUCUGGGUACAGUCAAGUACUUGCGAAGUCGGUGUGUGAGUCAAGAAGGGAUUGACCCCUCCUGGUGAUAGGAGAUGAUGCUCUUAUGUUCAAUUUAGCAAAACCUUGGGCAGGAUAAUCCUUGUGAGGAGUCACAGGAUUUGUAAAGUUAAAACACAUUUUGGAUGAACUGAUUAAAGAGUUGACAGCGAACUCUGAAGUCAUCCUAUGCAUUCGGAGUCAUGGUGAUGAAUUAUAUGGUAACCAUACUCC